AGUGUCGGUCUCCGUCUGUCUGCGUCUGUGCAGCUGAAGCGCCAAAGGGACAUGUAACCCAGGUGUUGUCUACUGGCUUUGUUUUGCCUGCCUUGCCCCUGUAUUUUUCUCCUUCCUGGUCACUCUGUAUUUCCCGCGGCGGUGACGUCAUUUGGUCACAUGGGGCGGUCGGCCAAUCACGAGCGUUUAUUCCGUGACGUCACAGCAUCACGUGACACGGCGCAGCCAAUCACAAACGCAUAUAAGGGUACAGGAAGUCAGCAGUGUUAGAUGCAGUGGGAGGCCAGAUGAGACAAGGCACAGGGGCCCUCUAUCCAGUUCAAAACAAAGAGCAUUUGGAAGUGAUUUUUGGCGGAAAUUGGCCAGGUCCAUGAUGGCGAGCUAGACCCUGGAACCUGAACCAUCAGAAAAGCCGCAUCCUCCCGCCAAGCCGGUAGGGGGCUCCUAGUAGCCCAGUUGAAAACAAAGACCUCUGACCCAGCUUAUGCCCACACCAUCGCUUUAAUGAACUAUAUUCAUACAAACUAAAUUCACGCUUCCCAGUGCACUUACCUUCCUCUGAACUGUGGGCGGGUUGGUUUUUCUUUGUGUUUUUGUUUCUAUGGUGCAACUAAAAGUUGCUGGACUCGAGGACACCCUACAACA
This is a non-coding RNA of Oryzias latipes (Japanese medaka), 645 nucleotides long. NCBI's taxonomy places the organism in Eukaryota, Metazoa, Chordata, Actinopteri, Beloniformes, Adrianichthyidae. The record is from RefSeq and is a predicted model, not a curated record.